AAUAUGGAAAUGAAUAUAUUAUUUAAUUUUGUAAAACAUAGUUGUUUGUUUUAGUUAUAUGAUUUAAGGGAGUUAGGUUAUAUUAAAGAAGAAUUUAGGGAAAAAUAAUAAGAUUUAAGUAUUAUAUAAAUAAUGAAUAGUAAGUAUAAAGAAAAUAUGCAGAUUUAGUGUUUCGUUAUAAUAAUAAAAAAUAAGUAGUGUGUAAUUAGAAGAGGAAUGGAGAUAAGAAAAAAGUCCCGUUUCCAUCUUCAAAUUAAAAAGAGAUAUAUUAUAUUUUAAAAUAGCUCUUCUAGUAGUUCUGUUUUUUGCUCAGAAAGCCUUUGUGCAGCAAGCCAGAGACCAAAUCUAUGAGAAAUAGUUCCAUUAAACUGCUCAAGAGUACGAUUGAAUCUUCUAUAGUCGAAGGUAGAUGGAAUACUAUGAAGGAUGGAUAUACAUCCUUCAAAUGAUGUCAUAAUCAGCUUAUGUUCAUGGUACUUAAGAACACCAAGAGCAACUUGGAAUGCAUAUGGUUCUCCAAAAAGAAAAAGAGAAUCCCAAACCUUUGGAAUAACUUGUAUUGGAAUACAUGUUGAAAAUAAAGAAGUCAACCAUGAAAUUAAGUAUGUGUCUGAUGUAAUACUUAAUAAAUCAAAAUGAUAAGCCAAAGAAGGCAUUAAUUCUUUAAAUAACAUAUCAAAGAAAUCCAAUCUCAUUUUAACAUUUCUAUGAUUAAGCAUAAACAUAUCUAAGAAGAAGCUGUUAUGCAAAAGGUUAGUAAAGGUUUUAAAUGCUUCCAUCAAAUUAAUAUUAAAUAACAAAAGAAUCAUUGCAAUAUGACUCAUCCCCUCAACAUAACCUAUAUCAGGCCUAUACAAUAUAAAACAUUCAACCAAAAUCUUAGUACUCUGGUCUAUUCUAUAUAUACUCGGAUUGUCAUUAAAAAAUAAUAAUACACUCUCAAGUUCUGAAUCUUCAUCAUCUUCCAGAAUUUUCCUAUUAAUAUGAGAUUGGGAAAUUGGAGAGAGCCCGCCUAAUGGUGAAGGAACUGUCAUAAAUGUAGAAUCUGAUUGUUCAUUAGCCAUUUGUUUCUGUUCUAUAUAUUUUGCUUUU
This 1092-nucleotide non-coding RNA is filed under the name Cryptosporidium parvum. Lineage: Eukaryota; Apicomplexa; Conoidasida; Eucoccidiorida; Cryptosporidiidae. The record is from RNAcentral.